UCCGGUGUAGCUCAGUUGGUAGAGCGACGGACUGUUAAUCCGCAGGUCGCAGGUUCGAGCCCUGCUACCGGAGCCA
This 76-nucleotide transfer RNA is filed under the name Alphaproteobacteria bacterium. RNAcentral's name for it is "tRNA-Asn". It matches the Rfam family "tRNA". Rfam says of the family: Transfer RNA (tRNA) molecules are approximately 80 nucleotides in length. Lineage: Bacteria; Pseudomonadati; Pseudomonadota; Alphaproteobacteria. The record is from RNAcentral.